RNAcentral lists this ribosomal RNA (254 nucleotides) under uncultured bacterium. RNAcentral describes it as "partial 16S ribosomal RNA". It matches the Rfam family "Bacterial small subunit ribosomal RNA", at positions 524 to 777 of the family's 1533-position model. The record is from RNAcentral.
UACAGAGGGGGCAAGCGUUGUUCGGAAUUACUGGGCGUAAAGGGCGCGUAGGCGGCCUUCUAAGUCGAACGUGAAAUCCCUGGGCUCAACCCAGGAACUGCGUCCGAUACUGGAAGGCUUGAAUCUGGGAGAGGGAUGCGGAAUUCCAGGUGUAGCGGUGAAAUGCGUAGAUAUCUGGAGGAACACCGGUGGCGAAGGCGGCAUCCUGGACCGGCAUUGACGCUGAGGCGCGAAAGCCAGGGGAGCAAAGCGGG